Molecule: non-coding RNA, 40 nt
Organism: Echinops telfairi (small Madagascar hedgehog)
Lineage: Eukaryota; Metazoa; Chordata; Mammalia; Afrosoricida; Tenrecidae
Source: Rfam
UGGGGGUAUGGCUUAAGUACAGAGAAGCCCUCACCUCAGA